GAUGAACGCUGGCGGCGUGCCUAAUACAUGCAAGUCGAGCGAACAGACGAGGAGCUUGCUUCUCUGACGUUAGCGGCGGACGGGUGAGUAACACGUGGAUAACCUACCUAUAAGACUGGGAUAACUUCGGGAAACCGCAGCUAAUACCGGAUAAUAUAUUGAACCGCAUGGUUCAAUAGUGAAAGACGGUUUUGCUGUCACUUAUAGCUGGAUCCGCGCCGCAUUAGCUAGUUGGUAAGGUAACGGCUUACCAAGGCAACGAUGCGUAGCCGACCUGAGAGGGUGAUCGGCCACACUGGAACUGAGACACGGUCCAGACUCCUACGGGAGGCAGCAGUAGGGAAUAUUGCGCAAUGGGCGAAAGCCUGACGGAGCAAUGCCGCGUGAGUGAUGAAGGCCUUCGGAUCGUAAAACCCUGUUAUUAGGGAAGAACAAAUGUGGAAUUAACCAUGGACGUUUUGACGGUACCUAAAGAGAAAGCAACGGCUAACUACGUG
Molecule: ribosomal RNA, 497 nt
Filed under: uncultured bacterium
Lineage: Bacteria
Description: partial 16S ribosomal RNA
Rfam family: Bacterial small subunit ribosomal RNA
Source: RNAcentral